This 432-nucleotide ribosomal RNA is filed under the name uncultured fungus. RNAcentral describes it as "partial 18S ribosomal RNA". It matches the Rfam family "Eukaryotic small subunit ribosomal RNA", at positions 73 to 371 of the family's 1831-position model. The record is from RNAcentral. Lineage: Eukaryota; Fungi.
CUAGUACUGUGANACUGCGAANGGCUCAUUACAUCAGUUAUAGUUUAUUUGAUGGNCCUACCACCUGGGUNACCGGAGUAANUCCUUAACUAAUACAUGGCCUGAAACCCNACUUGUGGGGGGUUGCAUUGNUUAUAUACAAAACCAACAAGCUGGUUGAUUCAUAUCAACUUAACNAAUCACAGCCUUCAGGCGCGAUGAAUCNUUCAAAUUUCUGCCCNAUCAACUGUCGAUGGUAAAGUGGGCUUACCAUGGCUACAACGGGAACGGGGAAUCUUGAUCGGAUCGCAUACGGUGGCUUAUAUUUGUUAUUAUAAUCUUCGGAUUUUAAUAGCAAAUAUAAGUCGNANACGAUUCAUUCGAAUUUCUGCCCCAUCAACUCUCGAUGGUAGGAUAGAGGCCUACCAUGGUCGCAACGGGUAACGGGGAAUA